UGAUAUGCUUGUCUCAAAGAUUAAGCCAUGCAUGUGUCAGUAUGAGCCCUAUUAGGGUGAGACCGCGAAUGGCUCAUUAUAUCAGUUGUGGUUCCUUGGAUAGAUGAAGCAGACGUGGAUAACUGUGGCAAUUCUAGAGCUAAUACAUGCAAUUAAGUCCUGACUGGUAACGGAAAGGACGCUUUUAUUAGAUCAAAACCAAUCGGCACCUCGUGGGUGUCGUAGGUCUUGGUGACUCUGAAUAAAGUUACAGUAGAUCGCAUGGCCUUGCGCUGGCGACAGAUCUUUCAAAUGUCUGCCUUAUCAACUCUCGAUGGUAGACUCUGUGUUUACCAUGGUCGUAACGGGUAACGGGGAAUCAGGGUUCGAUUCCGGAGAGGGAGCCUGAGAAAUGGCUACCACAUCUAAGGAAGGCAGCAGGCGCGCAAAUUACCCAAUUUCGGCACGGAGAGGUAGUGACGACAAAUAACGAUACGGGACUCAUCCGAGGCCCCGUAAUCGGAAUGAAACAAGAAUAAAAAAUUUUUUGAGUAUCCAUUGGAGGGCAAGUCUUGUGCCAGCAGCCGCGGUAACUCAAGUUCCAAUAGCGUAUAUUAAAGUUGUUGCGGUUAAAAAGCUCGUAGUCGGAUGUGUGUUCCACGCUGCCGGUUCACCGCCCGUCGGUGUCUAACUGGCAUGUCGUGCGAACGUCCUGUCUGUGGCCCCGCCUUGCCGUGUCCGUGUGCGUCGUUUUGGUGAGUUACCGGGACAUCUCGUCCUGGGGCGUCUUGCCAAACGGCCUGCGGAUGCACGGAGGGGGCCUGCUCGCACCCUAUCGUGGUGCUCUUGACCGAGUGUCUCGAUGGGCAGACACGUUUACUUUGAACAAAUUAGAGUGCUCAAAGCAGGCAUAUUUCGCCUGAAUAUUCAGUGCAUGGAAUAAUGGAAGAUGACCUCGGUUCUAUUUUGUUGGUUUUCGGAAUAUCCGAGGUAAUGGUCAAUAGGGACAGACGUGGCCAUUCGUAUUGCGACGUUAGAGGUGAAAUUCUUGGAUCGUCGCAAGACGGACAGAAGCGAAGGCAUUUGGCAAGAAUGUUUUCACUGAUCAAGAACGAAAGUCAGAGGUGCCAAGGCGAUUAGAUACCGCCCUAGUUCUGACCAUAAACGAUGCCAGCCAGCAAUCCGCCGGAGUUCCUCCGAUGACUCGGCGGGCGGCUUCCGGGAAACCAAAAGCUUUUGGGUUCCGGGGGAAGUAUGGUUGCAAAGCUGAAACUUAAAGGAAUUGACGGAAGGGCACUACAAGGAGUGGAGCCUGCGGCUUAAUUUGACUCAACACGGGGCAACCCACCAGGUCCGGACACUGGGAGGAUUGACAGAUUGAGAGCUCUUUCUUGAUUCAGUGGGUAGUGGUGCAUGGUCGUUUUUAGUUGGUGGAGCGAUUUGUCAGGUUCAUUCCGGUAACGAGCGAGACUCUAGCCUGCUAAAUAGUCGUUUGAGCAUCCUUUAGUGCUGCUCACGAUUAUAUAUCUUCUUAGAGGGAUAGGCGGCGUUUAGCCGCACGAGAUUGAGCAAAAACAGGUCUGUGAUGCCCUUCGAUGUCCUGGGCCGCACGCGCGCUACACUGAAGGAAAAAACGUGUUAUUCCCGUUUUGAGAGGAACGGGUAACCCGAUGAAUCUCCUUCGUGCUAGGGAUUGGGGAUUGCAAUUUUUCCCCAUAAACGAGGAAUUCCUAGUAAGCGCGAGUCACCAGCCCGUGCUGAUUAAUGUCCCUGCCCUUUGUACACACCGCCCGUCGCUACUUCCGAUUGAAUGAUUUAGUGAGGUCUUCGGACCUGUGGGCACGAGUAAUUCUCGCGACCUGCGGGAAAGUUGAUCGAACUUGAUCAUUUAGAGGAAGUAAAAGUCGUAACAAGGUCAUC
This 1899-nucleotide ribosomal RNA is filed under the name Attaphila fungicola. RNAcentral's name for it is "SSU rRNA". It matches the Rfam family "Eukaryotic small subunit ribosomal RNA". The record is from RNAcentral. Lineage: Eukaryota; Metazoa; Arthropoda; Insecta; Blattodea; Blattellidae.